RNAcentral lists this ribosomal RNA (253 nucleotides) under uncultured bacterium. RNAcentral's name for it is "partial 16S ribosomal RNA". It matches the Rfam family "Bacterial small subunit ribosomal RNA", at positions 524 to 776 of the family's 1533-position model. The record is from RNAcentral.
UACGGGGGGGGCAAGCGUUGUUCGGAAUUACUGGGCGUAAAGGGCUCGUAGGUGGCCAACUAAGUCAGACGUGAAAUCCCUCAGCUUAACUGGGGAACUGCGUCUGAUACUGGAUGGCUUGAGUUUGGGAGAGGGAUGCGGAAUUCCAGGUGUAGCGGUGAAAUGCGUAGAUAUCUGGAGGAACACCGGUGGCGAAGGCGGCAUCCUGGACCAAGACUGACACUGAGGAGCGAAAGCCAGGGGAGCAAACGGG